This 216-nucleotide long non-coding RNA is filed under the name Phoenix dactylifera (date palm). Its description in RNAcentral is "long non-coding RNA (PDAC_LNC004669)". The record is from RNAcentral. Lineage: Eukaryota; Viridiplantae; Streptophyta; Magnoliopsida; Arecales; Arecaceae.
UCUGCUGAAUGCAUCUCCAUGUGGGAAAGUGGCUCGGUAUGCUCAUCAGUAGAGGCAACAGGCUCAUUGGACAUAACCUUGGUAUGCUCAUCUCCUCUUGGCUCAUCAUAUCUCCCAUCAUAUUUCCUCAUGCAAUACCCAACCUUAUUAGAGAGUCCUUGUGGAAGAAGGACUCCUCCCAAUCCUUAUGCCACAACCCAUCCCACACGCCAUAUC